UACAUGCAGUUGAGCGCUGAAGGUUGGUACUUGUACCGACUGGAUGAGCAGCGAACGGGUGAGUAACGCGUGGGGAAUCUGCCUUUGAGCGGGGGACAACAUUUGGAAACGAAUGCUAAUACCGCAUAAAAACUUUAAACACAAGUUUUAAGUUUGAAAGAUGCAAUUGCAUCACUCAAAGAUGAUCCCGCGUUGUAUUAGCUAGUUGGUGAGGUAAAGGCUCACCAAGGCGAUGAUACAUAGCCGACCUGAGAGGGUGAUCGGCCACAUUGGGACUGAGACACGGCCCAAACUCCUACGGGAGGCAGCAGUAGGGAAUCUUCGGCAAUGGACGAAAGUCUGACCGAGCAACGCCGCGUGAGUGAAGAAGGUUUUCGGAUCGUAAAACUCUGUUGGUAGAGAAGAACGUUGGUGAGAGUGGAAAGCUCAUCAAGUGACGGUAACUACCCAGAAAGGGACGGCUAACUACGUGCCAGCAGCCGCGGUAAUACGUAGGUCCCGAGCGUUGUCCGGAUUUAUUGGGCGUAAAGCGAGCGCAGGUGGUUUAUUAAGUCUGGUGUAAAAAGCAGGGGGUCAACCACUGUAUGCAUUGUAAACUGGUAGACUUGAGUGCAGGAGAGGAGAGUG
RNAcentral lists this ribosomal RNA (627 nucleotides) under Lactococcus lactis. Its description in RNAcentral is "bacterial SSU rRNA". It matches the Rfam family "Bacterial small subunit ribosomal RNA", at positions 52 to 663 of the family's 1533-position model. The record is from RNAcentral. Lineage: Bacteria; Bacillati; Bacillota; Bacilli; Lactobacillales; Streptococcaceae.